Molecule: transfer RNA, 53 nt
Filed under: Dracunculus medinensis (Guinea worm)
Lineage: Eukaryota; Metazoa; Nematoda; Chromadorea; Rhabditida; Dracunculidae
Description: tRNA-Ser2
Source: RNAcentral
AAGAAUUUUAUGUAAAAUUUUGAAAAUUUUACUUGAGUUUUUCUCGUUUCUUU